RNAcentral lists this ribosomal RNA (272 nucleotides) under uncultured bacterium. RNAcentral describes it as "partial 16S ribosomal RNA". It matches the Rfam family "Bacterial small subunit ribosomal RNA", at positions 524 to 796 of the family's 1533-position model. The record is from RNAcentral.
UACGUAGGUGGCAAGCGUUGUCCGGAUUUAUUGGGUUUAAAGGGUGCGUAGGCGGCCCUGUAAGUCAGUGGUGAAAUAUCUCAGCUUAACUGAGAGGGUGCCAUUGAUACUGCGGGGCUUGAGUACAGAUGAGGUAGGCGGAAUUGACGGUGUAGCGGUGAAAUGCAUAGAUAUCGUCAAGAACACCGAUAGCGAAGGCAGCUUACCAAGCUGUAACUGACGCUGAGGCACGAAAUGUGGGGAUCAAACAGGAUUAGAUACCCCCGUAGUCC